CCUUCAGGAAGAAGAAAAUUCAUUCUAGAGCUCCCUGCCCCCUAACCUGCCCUGUAUUGUCAGUGUGGACGACUGCAGGGCGUUGGGGGAUUUGCCUUGGGCUCAGGGUUAGUCUCUCAUUGCUGUUGUUUGCUUUAAAAGGAGGAAGAGAGGAAGAAACCCUCAAGCCCUGGCCCCUGGAGAUGUAGCUGGGAGGUGGCAUGGUUUUCCCCUUCCGGGAGGAGCAGGUGCCUGGGGCCUGCAGUGUUGGUGGUUGUGCCACUACUUUGUUUUUUUGUGCCAUUACUUUCUUUCCACCCCAGGAUGUGCACAGCAGUGCAUUCAUCACCUGCUGCUGUUGUGGCCGAAACCGAGACCGCGCUCUGUUUGCCCAGCACGGCCCGAGUGCGUCGUAGCAUGGCAGGGACAUCAGAUUUCCAUCCUGGUGCCCCAGCCUUCUUGGGGUCUGACCCAGCUUCUCCGAGACCGUCUACAUGCCAUCAUCCGGGCCCAUCUGACACUCUGUCCCCUAAAGGACUCAUCUGACCGUCAUCUGUGCUCUUGGAGAGAUCAUUCCUGCUGUAAUGGUUUUAUGGCUUCACUUCUCAGAGGCUUCAGCUUCAUCAGUCCCGGUUUGGUCAGAGAGGCCAGAAGACGGCCGUGCGGACAUCUCUCAUCCACCAAUGGGUACCCCGAGAGGGGAGAGACUGAAGGGCCCUGGGCUUGCCCGGGUCUUGGUC
Molecule: long non-coding RNA, 719 nt
Organism: Canis lupus familiaris (dog)
Lineage: Eukaryota; Metazoa; Chordata; Mammalia; Carnivora; Canidae
Exons: 3
Source: RefSeq, a predicted model, not a curated record